GAAAAAAACUCGAAUAGUUCGUCUGCUUGAGAAUAGAGAAAUAGUUAAUCUGCUUUAGAAGUCGCGUUGACGUAAGCACGUCUUGCCUUUAUUGAGUAAUGUUUCAAAAUGUUGGUAGUGAAACAAAACUUUGUUGUGGCUUUAUGAGAAACCAAGAUCCUUUUCUCAAAUGGAAAGAGACUUUACUGGACAGAUGUAAUUUGCAUGAAAGAGAUUGCACUUGUAAAAUUUUCCGAACCUUUUCCUUGCAAAAACUCUUCUUUAGGCUCUUGUAGUUAUAUCAUAGUUGUCUUGUGGCUACCAAUGGCGGCCAUGCCAUGUUUGACAGCAUCUAGUUGUAUUUGUAGUCUGUGAAAAGAAAAUAAAUACAAGCAUAAUGAAACAACAAA
This is a long non-coding RNA of Daphnia magna, 389 nucleotides long. RefSeq lists it as uncharacterized. The transcript is spliced from 3 exons. The record is from RefSeq and is a predicted model, not a curated record. Lineage: Eukaryota; Metazoa; Arthropoda; Branchiopoda; Diplostraca; Daphniidae.